GACUUUGGGACAUUUCCAUCUUGGUGGUCUCGUUGUGCCUUUUCUUAGCUCAGGUCAAAGCACUUUGACCGUGCUCUCCUCCGUCUUUGGGGGCUUUCAGUGAAAGCUGAACUGCUGGGCUACUGCACCUGAACGCACCGUAAGAAGAUGGACUUGAAAAGGUCAUGUGUGUCCAUCCAUGAGGUUUCAAAAGUCUGACAAGUCAUGUUUGUUCUUCUUAAAAGUCUCCGUGGAAGCUAGCAAUCAUUGUAGGCUUUAACGUGAGCCGUCAAUGUUCAACACGUGAACACGCCGCUUGCACCCCACCAACACGUGUCCGAGGACAGCAGAAGUGCUUUCUUCAGCUGCUGACCUUGGACCCGGGCAUGCGGGACCACCGGGAGGCCUGGACUCCCCGAGUCCGGCCCUCCGCUUUGUUUGUUGCUUCUAGGAUUCCAAGUGAGCGAGGGAGGAGGAGAAGACGGCAAAGUCACGAGUCGGCAGACGGCAGGAAAGCAAGGCACGGCUGUCGUGUCGGACUUGUACACUUUGAUGAGACGUAUGGAACACAAAUGUUGGCAGAGUUAAUGCAAGCCAGACUCGCGGGAACAUUAACUCAACCACGUGAACAGGGCGAGCGAGCGAGGGACAGAGAGAGAGAGAGAGAGAGAGCUCGGUGAUGUGUUCAAGUCUCUCCACCCGAGGAGAACGUGUCCCAGUCUUUGCCAGUCUCGCCGGUCCCGGUGUUCCGGCUGGGUGCAAGUCAGAGGAAAUCCUCUUUUGCGCUGAUUGUGUCAGAAGCCGGAAAGCCUUUCCACAGCAGGAUGGGCUUCAGCGAGCUGCUGGAGGAGAUGGGCGGUUUUGGGCGGUACCAGUGGCUCCACGUGACUUUGAUCAGCCUCCCGGGCCUCCUGAUGGCGAGCCAGAACCUUUUAAACAACUUUGUUUCCGGAACCCCCUCCCACCACUGCAGCCUGUCGGCCAAUCACAGCCUCCUGCAGGUGGAGCAGACAGACGCGCUGAAGGCCUUCAUACCUCUGGACUCCUCUGGAACACGCCUGGACCGCUGCAGCAGGUUCGUGACGCCUCAGUGGCAUCUGCUAGCGGCUAACAGCUCUGCUAACACCAGCCACCUGCACACGGAGAGCUGCUUGGACGGAUGGACCUUUGACCGCUCCGAGUUCCUCGCCACCACCGUUUCCGAGUGGGAGCUGGUGUGUUCGCUGCGUCCCCUCAAGCAGAUGAUCCAGACCAUCUAUAUGGGCGGAGUUCUAUCAGGCGCCAUCGUGUACGGCGGCCUGUCUGACAGGUUUGGCCGGCGGACCGUCCUUGUUUGGUCCUACCUGCAGUUGGGCAUCCUCGGCUGUAGCUCCGCCCUCUCGCCGUCUUACUCCAUCUACUGCGUUUUCAGCGUUUCGAGCGCCGCUAGCAUGUCUGCGGUCGGUCACGCCUGCUGUUUGUCGUCAGAGGUGGAGUGGAUUCCGACCAAAGCCAGGACGCUGGUGGGCACGCUCACUUCCUUCUUCUUCACCUUUGGUCAGCUGAUCUUGGCGGGCUUGGCUUACUGGCUGAGAGACUGGAGGAAGCUGCAGCUGGUCGUCUGCGCUCCCCAGUUCCUGUUCUUCGCCUACAGCUGGUGGUACUCUGAGUCGGCGCGAUGGUUGGUCCUGAAGCGGAAAUCGGAGAAGGCGCUGAAGACCCUGCACCGAGUGGCUCGAAUCAACGGCAAACAGGAAGUGGUGGACAAGCUGACGCUGGAGGUUCUUCACUCUCACAUGAAGAAAGAGAUGGAGUCCUCUCAGACCAUGAUGACCGCCUACGACUUGGUGAGGACUGCGGGAAUGAGGCGCAUUUCUGUGUGUCUCAUCGCAGUCUGGUUCUCAACCAGCUUUGCGUAUUAUGGCUUGGCCAUGGACCUCCAGAAGUUUGGGCUGAGUAUUUACAUGAUCCAGAUCAUCUUUGGAGCCGUGGAUUUCCCAGCCAAGCUUGUGGCUCUGGGCAUGCUCAGUUACCUCGGGAGAAGAGUGUCUCAGGCCUCGUGCCUCUUCAUGUCCGCCCUCAUCAUCUUCGCCAACAUCUUCGUGCCGACAGGUAAGACGCAGCAGCGCACGCUGACCACCGUUGGAGUCGCUAACCGCUUGGUGAUGCAGACAUGCAGACCGUCAGAACCACGCUGGCGUGUCUCGGUAAGGCCUUCCUGUCAGCGUCCUUCACCACCGUCUAUUUGUACACGGGCGAACUUUACCCCACCAUCAUCAGACUGGAAUGGGUCUGGUCUCCACCAUGGCCAGAGUUGGCAGCAUGGCGGCGCCGGCUGUUCUCAUCCUGGACGAGGUCAACUUCAUAGUGAAAAUCAGUCUCUCGAAUGGCAUAGAUGGCCGUCUUUCCCUAGGACUACACAGAUGCCGUGGAAGGAUAGCCUGGCCUUCCUGGAAGGAAGGAUUGGAAGACCACCACGGCCAUCUUGGUCAUGCUCUUCCAUUGAAGGCAGACGUCCUGUACAUAAGAGGCGGGCAAAGUGCGGCCCGCCGGGCGUUUCCACGGUCCUUUUCUUCUUUCCAUCCUUGACCAGCCUGUCACGUGACCUGCAGUGCUGUGGCAUGCUUGACAGGCCAAAAUAGUCACAGGCAAUCGGUGGCUUAAAUAUUCCUGCUGCAAGGCAUGCUGGGUAGCUUGUAGUACCAACAUUUUGUCGCAUUUUUGCUUGAUUGGCAAAUAUGUUGAUGGGAUUGUCAGGAUGAGUUAGCAUACUCUUGAUAUCCCGUGUUUUAUUCUUCAUGUUGCUGUUGCAGCCGGACUACCCUGCAUGCUUUGCGGGCAUUUUGAACUCACUGUUUUCAGUUACGUUUAGCUCUUAGUUGUUUUAUGUGAUGCGUUAACUUCGUCGCACCGUGAGCAAGUAUGUUCUGAUUGAUGCCACCAAAUGUUUCACCUAAUAUGGCCCCAUGAGUCCAAAAGUUUGUCGCCCCGAUACAGAAUAAGACUUGAGUCUGGGGGGUCGAAAGCAACAUCUCAGCACCUUUGCAGUAAAGCCUGCUGACGCGACACGUUUUCUAAAUAGCCGCUUCGUUCAUCACAGCCGCUUAAGACGACCGAUUCUCAUUCUGAAAAUAUGCUAAUUUAUACCGUAACGCUUAUAAUUAGUUAAAUGGGAAAGCAAGCCACCUAACCACGACUCCUUCCAUCCUCAACAGGACUGUACCUCAUUUGUACUUGCUACGUUCCAAAUCAAAAGGCAUUCACCAGAUGUAACCCAGACGUCACAAGGGGAUGUGUAGUAUUCUCCACUGGUCACUAGGCGGCAGUCAUGUACACCAUUGAUGGGACCACCAGAACAAGGAACUUUACCAAGACACCUGAGUCUAUAUUACGUCUACUAUAUUGGGGAAUAGGCAUGUAAAGAUAACUAUAGGGGUGUUAUUUCAUGUCUGGGCAGCUCUAAUGUUCAAGCGUAUUUAGAAGGUUUUCUCUGCUCUAACAAUGAAAAUAUUCCAUAUUCCAAAUAAGGAAAUUGACUUAUCACAGACCCGGAAGCAGUAGGUGCUUCCUCACCAACUAGUGUGGAAGGUCGGUGUGGUUAUUGGACGGUGGAAAAGCGUGGUGUGACAUCCCAAACUAAGACGUACUCUCCUGGCCCCCCAGGUGUUCCCUUCACUGCCCAGCGUGGUCUACGGGGGGGCGGCUGUGGUAGCCUCAGGCUUUGCUUGCUUCCUGCCCGAGACGCUCAACGUUCCACUGCCAGACACCAUCCAGGACGUGGAGGAGAGAUGGUCUGGGAAAGGCUCGGCCUACCAGAAGA
This is a non-coding RNA of Doryrhamphus excisus (bluestripe pipefish), 3778 nucleotides long. The record is from RefSeq and is a predicted model, not a curated record. NCBI's taxonomy places the organism in Eukaryota, Metazoa, Chordata, Actinopteri, Syngnathiformes, Syngnathidae.